AAAAGGCAUGCAGNUCGAAACGAACUUAACUCAUUCUUUUAGAUUGAGAGCGGUUAGUGGCGGACUGGUGAGUAACGCGUAAGGAACCUGCCUUUUAGAGGGGAAUAACAAUGAGAAAUCAUUGCUAAUACCGCAUAUGCCAUAAUUAUCACAUGAUAAUAGUGGGAAAGGAGCAAUUCGCUAAAAGAUGGCCUUGCGUCUGAUUAGAUAGUUGGUAAGGUAACGGCUUACCAAGUCGACGAUCAGUAGCCGGACUGAGAGGUUGAACGGCCACAUUGGGACUGAGAUACGGCCCAGACUCCUACGGGAGGCAGCAGUCGGGAAUAUUGCGCAAUGGAGGAAACUCUGACGCAGUGACGCCGCGUAUAGGAAGAAGGUUUUCGGAUUGUAAACUAUUGUCGUUAGGGAAGAGAAAGGACAGUACCUAAGGAGGAAGCUCCGGCUAACUACGUGCCAGCAGCCGCGGUAAUACGCAGGGAGCGAGCGUUAUCCGGAAUUAUUGGGUGUAAAGGGUGCGUAGACGGGAAAGCAAGUUAGUUGUGAAAUCCCUCGGCUUAACUGAGGAACUGCAACUAAAACUACUUUUCUUGAGUGCAGGAGAGGUAAGUGGAAUUCCUAGUGUAGCGGUGAAAUGCGUAGAUAUUAGGAGGAACACCAGUGGCGAAGGCGACUUACUGGACUGUAACUGACGUUGAGGCACGAAAGUGUGGGGAGCAAACAGGAUUAGAUACCCUGGUAGUCCACACCGUA
Molecule: ribosomal RNA, 750 nt
Filed under: uncultured bacterium
Lineage: Bacteria
Description: bacterial SSU rRNA
Rfam family: Bacterial small subunit ribosomal RNA
Source: RNAcentral